CUUGCUCCUAACAUCUACGUUCCCCUCAUGUCUUUGAUAAAUUGUAUUUUAAGUGAUGUCAUAGACAGGAUUGUUUAAAUUUAGUUAAUUUUCCAUGCUCUUCAGACUGUGCUAUUGUGUAAAUGUCUAUUCUGCUCUGGUUUGUGUGAACUGGGAUGUUGUGGGUGUUUGUGGAUAUCUUACCUGGGGAAGUCCUUAUGUUUAUCUUGCUUUUCAUGUGUCUUUCUGUAGACAUAUCUGAAGAGAUGGAUUAAGGAUGCUUUGCAUUAAGGAUUGUGGAGCACAUUUCAAUCAUUUUAGGAUUAUCAAAAGGAGGAUUGAGGAGGAUCAGAUCAAUAAUGGAGGCAAUGGUUUGGAUUGGAGAGGGCUCACUGGAUCCCAAUCCUUGGAGCUGGAUCAUUGGAUCAAAUCAUAAUGUGGAUAGGAUAGGGAGGAUGAAUUACAAGGAUUCAUGGAGCGGGAUCAUAUUACCAGGAACAUAGGAGUGGAUUCCUGCCCCAACCAAACCGCAUUCGUGUGGAUUUUUUUUUUUUAUUCAACUUAAUUGGCUAUUCCAAAGAUUUUUUUUUUUCCUAUUUUUGACGAUUGGAGCCCUUAAGAUGCACGAUGGAAUUGUGUUUUGCAUUUUUUGGUAAAAGGAGCAAAGCGAGGACCUGGAGAUAAACGCUGGAGCAAUCUCCUUGGAAGGAUUCAGCACGAGUAGAUGGUAAACAUUUAAAGGGGAAAGGGGGGGUUUGUUUAAAAUAGUAAAUCAGUAAGUCACUUCUAAAUUUAAAGAAAACAAAAUUGGAGUUGAAGAAUAAGUAGGUUUCCAAUUGGCUAUUGCCGAUUUUCUUUGAAAAAUAAACGUUUUUUAAAAAACUAUG
This is a long non-coding RNA of Tupaia belangeri chinensis (Chinese tree shrew), 866 nucleotides long. RefSeq lists it as uncharacterized. NCBI's taxonomy places the organism in Eukaryota, Metazoa, Chordata, Mammalia, Scandentia, Tupaiidae. The record is from RefSeq and is a predicted model, not a curated record. The transcript has 2 exons.